Molecule: long non-coding RNA, 281 nt
Filed under: Coturnix japonica (Japanese quail)
Lineage: Eukaryota; Metazoa; Chordata; Aves; Galliformes; Phasianidae
Description: lncRNA (ENSCJPG00005004533.1)
Source: RNAcentral
GCAGUGUUUGGAAUAGAUCCAGAUCCCAGAACUUCUCUAUCUAUUGUAUUUCAGAGAGGAUUCCCAAACACAUGGCAGAAGAGCUGUUUGAGAUGCACAGCGUCAGAAUGGGACAGAGCUACUGCAGCAAACCAGGUUUUGUACUUGAGAAAGGAAUGAGUGAAAUGCAGAUCAUUUAUUUGCCUUCUGCCCUGUCCACAGCAUGGCCUGGCUCUCUCAGAUCUGCUUGGGGAGACUUUCCUGGCUGCAGGGAUGAACAGGUGAGACUCAAAAACAGGUAA